This 348-nucleotide unclassified non-coding RNA is filed under the name soil metagenome. Its description in RNAcentral is "partial contains 5.8S ribosomal RNA, internal transcribed spacer 2, and large subunit ribosomal RNA". The stretch from base 1 to 120 matches the Rfam family "5.8S ribosomal RNA", at positions 35 to 154 of the family's 154-position model. The record is from RNAcentral.
GAUGAAGAACGUAGCGAAAUGCGAUAAGUAAUGUGAAUUGCAGAAUUCAGUGAAUCAUCGAGUCUUUGAACGCACAUUGCGCCCCCUGGUAUUCCGGGGGGCAUGCCUGUCCGAGCGUCAUUGCCGCCCUCAAGCACGGCUUGUGUGUUGGACCCCCGCCCCCCGGCUUCGGGGGGCGGGCCCGAAAGGCAGCGGCGGCACCGCGUCCGGUCCUCGAGCGUAUGGGGCUUCGUCACCCGCUCUGUAGGCCCGGCCGGCGCCCGCCGGCGACCCCAAUCAAUCUUUCCAGGUUGACCUCGGAUCAGGUAGGGAUACCCGCUGAACUUAAGCAUAUCAAUAAGCGGAGGA